RNAcentral lists this ribosomal RNA (253 nucleotides) under uncultured bacterium. RNAcentral's name for it is "partial 16S ribosomal RNA". It matches the Rfam family "Bacterial small subunit ribosomal RNA", at positions 524 to 776 of the family's 1533-position model. The record is from RNAcentral.
UACGUAGGGUGCAAGCGUUAAUCGGAAUUACUGGGCGUAAAGCGCACGUAGGCGGUUUUUUAAGUCAGAUGUGAAAGCCCCGGGCUCAACCUGGGAAUUGCGUUGGAGACUGCAAGGCUAGAAUCUGGCAGAGGGGGGUAGAAUUCCACGUGUAGCAGUGAAAUGCGUAGAGAUGUGGAGGAACACCGAUGGCGAAGGCAGCCCCCUGGGUCAAGAUUGACGCUCAUGCACGAAAGCGUGGGGAGCAAACAGG